ACAGUGACGUUUCACUGCCAGCCUUCAGAACUUCACCCAUGUCCACCAUGUCCAAUGUGGUGGACAGCAAAUGGCGUUUAUUGAGGGGUCACAGGGAUCCUUUAUAGCUUGGACAGUGAGUGUCAUUUCCUUCUGCUCAUGUCCGGCUGGGUGUGGCUAGGCACGGAGCAAAGGUUUGACUACAGGGGUGGGGGGAUGUCCUGACUGACCAUACAGCCCGAUUUCUUCUGCACGCAGAUCCCUGGCUCUCCACAUUUCCCCCCUCCCUCAUUAUUAGUAAAAAUCAUAUAAAGUUAUAAAAUGUAGAGGUUACAAAAUUUCAUGGGUUAGUAAAAUUAGUAUAAAAUUGUAAGUGUGUUAGUAUCUGGCACACCUUAAAGUAAUUGUUGGCGCUCGAGAAACAUAAUGUUAACAGUUUCUAAACACCUUUUAGCGAAUAGCACCAGUUUGUUUAAUAUGCAAGGCCCGAAGAUUAGGGUUAGUAAGAUCAUAGUGAGUGGGCCUAUUAGGGUAGAAAUCAGGGUGGUGAGCCAUGGGGACCGGUUGAACCACGACUCGAACCAGCCCUUUUUAGCCUCUGUCCAUUUUUCUUAGGUUUAGUCAGUUCCUCAGUUCAGCCAUGGAGUCUCUGACGACUCCGGUGUGGUCUGCAUAAAAGCAGCAUUCCUCUCUCAAGGCAGCACACAGGCCUCCUUGCUGCAUGAACAAGCGGUCCAGUCCUUGCCUGUUUUGGAGGACAACCUCUGAGAGCGAGGAAAGGGAUUUUUCUAGGGAAGAGAUGGAUUUCUCGAUCCUUUGUAAGUCCUCGUCAACAGUCAUCUGCAGUUGUGCCAGUCCUUGAUGUUGCAUUGCAAGGGCCGAGAUGCCUGUGGCAGCGCCAGUAGCUCCUAAACCGAGGAGCAUUGUGAUGGUGAUGCCUGCUAUCACAUCUCGUUUGUGGAGCCGGUCGGGUUCCUCGAACAAGCGGUACACCUCUUCUUCCUGGCGAUACAGGACUCUGUGGACAAUUAGAACUUGGACACAAAAGUCAGUAGAAUGAUCGAAUUUGUCAAGGAGUACACAUGGGCUUACCCCGGAUCGUUGACAGACCCACAUUCCCGAUGCAGCUGGGAUCACCCACUGGAACUUCCCUCCCUUAAGUUUGAUGAAUUCCCGGCAGACGUUGCCCAUCUGCUUUGCCAAGGUUGCAUUGCCAAAGCAUUUGCCUUGGCCCAUAACCUGACUUAGGGUAAUGCCUCUCCGGGGGGUGUCCCAUCUGCAUUGGCGUGGAUUGUCUGACUUUGAGAAGAUGAAUGGGAGAUCGAGGGCAACACCUUCGUAAAAAGGGGGUUGUGCAUCAUAGCAUAACCAGCAUGACUCUGUGGAGUUCGGGUUGGAUUGGUUUAACGAUAAGAAGGUAGCAUUUAACCCGCUUAAGAAUGGAAUGGAGAGGGUUGGUUUGGCUAAAAUAACCAGCAUGACUCUGUGGAGUUCAGGUUGGAUUGGUUUAACGAUAAGAAGGUAGCAUUUAACAUGCUUAAGAAUGGAAUGGAGAGGGUUGGUUUGGCUAAAGGAUCAGAUGGGGAAGUAAGUUUUGGCAUCUGUGUUUUGCGGCUAGAACUACCGUUAACUGCGAUCCCCUUCCUGGGUCUACUCAUUGCUAGAACCGGAUUGGGUCUGACUGAUUGGGAUAUUGGAGCUGCGAGUCUGAUAAUUUCUAUGUUCACCCAGAUGUGGCGAGAGAGAUGAACAAACGCUGUCCACACUUUGCCCGUGGCCCAGCCAUCAUGGGUCGGCUGCAGGAUUGUCAUUAUAUAGCCUCUGCAGGUGUGCUGUUUCCUGUCUUGGGGCGAAAGCACAUGCUCCUCCAUAUAAAAUUUUGGUUUGAGGCAGCCGUGGGGAGUGUACUUAAUUUGCAGGAACUUAUCAGGCUGUUGUGGUUUCCAUCUAUUGCUUGUCACAAUAGUUUCACACCCCCAAUAUCCACAAUGUCCAUACCCUGGGUAAUUACAAUAACUUUUUCCUGGGUUGGAAGCAGGGCACCAGUAGGUCUGAAAUAAUGUCGUCUCCUGAAAUUUGGGGUGCCCUGUAUGCGAGGGAAAAAUGUCUUUUAGCCUGAACUCGAAAGAUGGGGUGUUGGCUGUAACAAUUUCUUUGAUGACCCCCUCACCUGAGAGAUGGCAUAGAACCCACCUGAAUGGCUGGUGAGGGUAAUGUAUCUGCCUGUCCUCCGCCUACUAACCUUAGAAACAAGAUCACACAGAUACCGUUGCUGCUUUGAUUUUGAUGGUGUGAGCUUCUCAGGUGAUGUCGGGCUGCUUGGUAGUCUCUCUCUCUUUCCCAGUAUAUGGGGCAUAUGGGUUGUGGGGGCAUCCAAUGAUCCAGUCCUGCAAACAAAGUCUCACAAUUCUCAUGAGUUUCACUUUGAAGGUCUGGUUUAAUAGAUUUGAGCAGACACCAUUUGAUGUCCCCAUCUUUUUUAACGGCCGCAUAUCCCCGCCCCAUGAGCACUAAUCUCCAACCUUGUUCCCACUCCCCUGGUUCAUUUUUGAUCACAACCCGUGGGCCUUCCUCUAGUGCUCGAGUAGCCCAGUGUCUCUGGGCAGGACUGUUGUUUCGUCCCCCCUAGGGAAUUGAUUUAACGCUAGCAGCACAGUUGCUAGUAUGCGCGCCUGGUCACUCGGGGGAAUGGCAUUGGUGAAGCCUUCUGUCUUUGCUAGUACUUCCAGCUUAGUUUUCAGAGUCUGGUUUCCUCUUUCAACGAUGGCUUGUCUGGUGCUGUUGUAUGGGAUGCCAUGUACCAAGGCGAUGUUCCAUUUUGAGACGAAUGCUUGGACCGUCUUUGAGAUGAAGUUUGAGCCGUUGUCUGUUUUGAUUUGUUUUGGAACCCCAAGCCAUGCCAUGGCUGUUAGCCAAUGUUGGAUGGUCGCUUUGGAACCGGUCUUGAGAUGCUGUGUGGCCACAAUCAUGCCGCUGUACGUAUCUAUGGUAACUGCAAGCCACGCUCGGGGUCUCAACAGAGGGCAUUGGGUGAAGUCUGUUUGCCAUAUUUCUGAGGCUUUGAGGCCUCUGGGGUUGACGCCACUUGACCACAGUGGCGACUUCUGACAGUGGGGGCAUGUGGCGACAAUGUGCUUUGCGUCCGCGGUAGAAAUCCCGCACCUUUUUGCAAGUGCUUUAUCUCCGAUGUGAAGGGAUUCGUGCAACUGACAAGCUUCUUUCAGUGUCCAUACGCCUUUUGCGGCGGUGUCAGCCUUGUCGUUGCCAAUUUGGUAGAAUCCUUUGAUCGGGUCAUGGCUGUUGAUGUGGAUGACUGAUAUGGUGCCUUUCCAUGAAUAGAGUGCUUCCUCCAGCAUCAUUGCCACAGUGGACACUGACACACCUGGUCCGGACAUGGCUAGGCAGAGCUUAGCCACAAAUAUGGAAUCAGUCACAAUGUUUAGGUGUUCUUCUGGGAACAGGCCGCAUGCUAGCACUACGGCUGCUGCUUCAAGCUGUUGGGCCGAAAGCGUGGGGUCGGUUGUCUUGACACAUUGCCACUGUUCUCCUGACUGCCAUACUGCCGCUGCGGUGGAGGUCUGCGAUGAUGCAUCCGUGAAGAUGGUUGGUCCUGCCCAUGGUCGGUCGAUUACCUUUGGUGCAGGUCGAUGUCGAUGACCGUGAGCAGCCGAGUCCAAGGGGGUUUUUCCUUGGACUCGGCUGUAGCAAAUCUCUCCUCCAAAGCCUGCAAGGGCCAUGGCUAGAUAUUCAGAUAUUGUUGUUGACUGCGCGGAGAGCUGUUUGCAGAAAGGCAAGUAUAUCUUUGAAGGUUCGAUGCCCAGAUGUCUUAGGGCGAGUUUCCUGCCUUUCAUGAUGAGGCUGCUGAGGCACUCGACUCCCGGGGAAAAGGCACAUGACAGUUUCCCCAAGACCACCCAUAGUAUUGGUUGGGCCUUGUCGGGGGGUCCUUGGGCUAAGGGUCCCGCUCCCCCCUUUUUUGUAAAGUGGACAUACAGAUCGACUGGUGCACUUGAAUCCCAUCUGGUGAGCAUGCUCUCUGACAUCUGGCGUUCAAUGAAGUUGAGCGAGCUUAUCGCUUCCGGUGUCAGGGUUUUCUGCUCCCAUGGGUUCUUUCCUUUCAAGAGGUCAUUUAGAGGGUCCAUGACCUCAGGAGGAAUCAGGACGAUGUUGCGGAGCCACUGUAAGGACCCUACCAGCUGCUGCACGUCGUGGAGUGUCUUGAUGUGUCGGCGGGUUUUCAUCUGGGGAGGAGUUAUGUAGGAGCUUGUGAUUCCCACUCCUAGGAAGGUCACGCACGGUCCCUUUUUUAUUUUUGCACUCACUACCUCAAAGCCAUUUGUCUUUAAGGUCUCGGAGAUGGUUGAUACCAGCUGGUCUACUUGUCUCGUGGAUGAUGCGGCGAUCAGGAUGUCGUCCAUGUACUGCAUGAUGGUCACAGUCGGACUGCUCUGCCAGACUGGUGCUAGCGCUCGGUCCACUGUGAUCUGGCAGAUGGUGGGAGAGUUGACCAUUCCUUGGGGUAACAUUCUCCACUGGAAGUGUAGGUUGGGCCGCUGGCUAUUUGGAAAGGCGAUGGAAAAGGCGAACCACUCCUUGUUGUCUUCGUGCAGGGGAAUAGAAAAGAAGCAGUCUUUGAUGUCGAGCACUGCACAGGGUUGUCCUCUCGGUAUCAUCGAGUUCAUGGGCAGUGAAGUUUGUAUGGGGCCCAUAGGCUGGAUUCUCUGGUUCACUUCCCGCAGGUCGUGCAGGAGAUGAAAGCCUUCACCAGACCGAUUAGGUAUUACGAAGAUCGGGGUGUUCCAUGGACUCAUGGAGGGUUCUAUAUGAUUCUUGUGUAACUCACGGCUAGCUCAAUGAGAGCAGUUAUUCGAGGCGUUGACAAGGGCUGGAUCCCCACCGGAUCGACUGAUUUCCAAGUCAGCUUGAUGGGCAAUGGCGGGUAUGUGACAGUGGCCCUUAGAAUAAAUUUGUCACCCUAACGUCCAGCAGGGCUAGGGCAUCCCUCCCCAACAAGGGUGGGCAAUCUGACAUAACAUAUGUAGUGAGGGUGAUAGUUCUUCCUGGUCCUCUUUCGGUGCAGAGGGUUAUUGCUACUGGUUGGGUGCAUUUGUGGGCUCGGGACAGCCCUCCAACUCCGCCCACCAUGGGGGCUUCUUCUAGCUUCCAUUGUAGAGGCCAGUGUAUGUCUGGGAUGACAGUGACAUCUGAUCCUGUGUCCACCCAAAAGGGAAGGCAGAUGGCCGAGUCAUCGGAGCUGUUGUGGAGAUGACACGCUGCCCACACGAUCAGUGGGUGCUUGCCCACCUUCGCGGUGAAGGCCACCCAUGGGUCUCAUUCCCAUGCUUUCAUGGCCAAAGCCACCCAGGGGCCUCGCCCCCAGGGAGCUGUUCUUGGUAUUCCUGAGGUGCAGAUGGGUUUGAUUGAGCCAUUGGUUGGGCGACGAAGUUGGUAAUUUCUUGAGGGGGUGGUGGGCAUGGAAGCCCUGUGCCCCAUUGAGGGUUGUUGUAGCUGGGCCGCUUCAUGUUCCAGGUGGGAGGAGGCUGGGUACAGCCCAGCUGCCCUCUCCCUCUCCCAUUUCCCUGAGGCCUGGAUCUGCAUUCCUUAGCUAAAUGGCCCUUCCUUCCACAUGCCCAGCAUGGUCCCCUAAGUUUCCCCUGGCGUGGUGGAGCAGCUGCUGGUUGGCGUCCUGACUGGGGGCAGUUUACUGCUACGUGGCCUGCCUGGCCACACUUGAAGCAUGCCAUCACACUGGUUAUUGCAGUGUGAACUGCUGCUUGGAUGGGAGCUAGGUGUUCUUCCUUUGCAACGUGUCUGAUCAUGGUAGCAAUAUUGGACCCAGGUGGCAGUGAUCUUAAGAUGUCUUUGGUGGCUGAGUUGCAUUGCUGGCGUAGGCAGUCUGCUAGCACAGGACCCUUCGCCUCUGAGGGUAAUGCAGAGGAAUCUAAUGCUGCCUGAAGGCGGCCCACAAACUGAGUGAAGCUCUCACGCUCACUCUGCUUUACAGUAGACCAUGGCGAUGGUUUGGCUAUUACUUUGGAAGCAACACAGAUGGCUUCUCGGGCAGCACGGGUUGUUGUCAUAACCUCAUGGGCCCGCAGGCCCUCAGCCUGUGCCUGGGGGGUGAUCAUAGUGGGGUCUGUGCCCAUUAGCCUCUGUAUGCUGGAGCCGUGCAGUGGGUGGUCUGCCGCUGUUACUAAGGCUAGCUGCUUUACACAGUUGUCCUCCCAUUCCUGUUUAAAAACGAUCAUCCUCGCCCCAUCAAAAAUCAGCCUGCAAGUCUGUUUGAUAUCAAAGGGAAGCGUAUCAUCACUUCCAAAAACGCUGUCAGUGAGUGUGAAAACCAUGGUGGAAUUAAUCCCCCUGUCUGCAAUCGCUUUAAUAAUUGCCUGUACAUCUUUUGGGUUUACCGGGGAGUAGGUUCUUUGGUUUCCGCCUGCCCCCCCGCCACGGACCGGGAACACCAGCGUGGCAGAUGGAGCCCACUCUGCACAAGCCAUUUUUAUUUUCCGCCAGUCUGUAAGCAGGGUUCGAUCUUUCUCUGAUAUCCCCUUAACCCACGCAGGAGCGCUGUGGCUAGUGAUCUUAUAUGCCACUACUCUCUUUUUUUUAAAACCCGAAUCCAUGUCGGAAUCCUCUGACCAUCUUUCAAGCCCAUCGCGGCUCGAGUCCAAGUCCGAGCCGGAAGUCGACUGGCCGGACAUUUCCGGGCUGCUGUGCUGUUUUCUUGGGCUCCGACCCUUCUUGCGGGGAUCGGGCGUUCCCUCCCCCUGGGCUCCCCCCGCCUCCUGCUGGGGGAGGUCCUUGCCCUAUAAGGACCUAAUGUGAAUUGAGCGCUCUGAUUGGUCUUACGCUCCUUCUUAGGGGCCACCCCUCCUCCCCGCUCGCCCAUGCUUGCGCUGUUCAUCGAGCCUUCUGCAUUUCUGCCCCCCAUGUCUUCAUUCCAGCCCUGGUCACGCGCUCCGGCGCCAUUUUCAAAUGCAUAUGGCGGGGGUGCCUUUUUAUCAACCGCUUCGGGGUCUGAUAUUAUAGCAGCAUUCCGUGCCUCCUCUGCUAGCCCCUGCCAAAAUGCCUGUGCGUGCUCCCCCCCUUCUGAUGGUGAGUCCGGUCGCUGAGGGGGUUCCGGCGUUCACGCCUCUGCGGUUUGUGUCACUGCCCCUACCCCCAACUGUGGCGUGGCUAAUAAACAAGUUCAUGUGGCUUUCCAGGUUUCUUGCUCUUUCCGAGCUUUUUGCAAAGCCUGGAUAACUCUGCCCCAUGAUUUGAGGGCUUUCCCUGAGCCUGAGGACAUGGUUUCCUCGGCCAGAGCCUUUGUGCAAUUAUCUCAGAUCUCCGAAUUGAGAAUGUCUACUGGGCUUUCUAUAGCCCCAAGCUUAAUCAGUCUCGGUAUUGCAAGACAUAGAUCUUUAAGCUUACACUCGAUACCCCACUGCGUGUGGAUCUGACUUACGACCUUCGCGAUAGCGUCCAUGCUCCCCGCUGGUCCGGGGGCGUCCCCCCCGCUGCACUAGGCCAGUUGUGCAGCCGCCGGUCCCUCGUCCAGGCGAUCCCCGAACCCCGGGUGCUGAUUGGUCCCGAGGUUUUGGCACCACUGGGGUCGUGUGGACUGGGAUCCCACAGACUGGGACUGCACAGACUGGGACCAUAUGGAUCAGGACCAUACAGACUGGGGUCAUGUGGGCUGGGAUUGUAUGGGUUGGGAUUGUAUGGGUUGGGAUUGUACAGGCUGGGAUCACGUGGACCAGGAUUUCAUGGGCUAGGACCAUAAGCAUUAGGAGCAGAGAUUGGGAUCAUCCAAACUGGACCAUAUGGACCGGGAUGGCUGCACUGGAUCAAUGUGAACCAAGGGGGUCCCGCCCUGCCCAGGGGUCCCUCCCCAUCCUGCCCGGGGUUGCAGCCAAAGCUUCCCGGGAUGAACACAGAGGUUCAGGAGGGAUCCCAGUGCCAAUCCCAUUUCUGAUCCCAUUUCUGAUCCUGGUGCCAGUCUCAGUGUGAACCUGGCACUGAUCCCGGUCCCAGUUCCAACCUCGGUCUCUGUCUCAGUCCCGGAGCACUCCCAGUGCUGAUUCUGGUUCUCAUGUCAAUCUUAAUCGCAGAGCGGUGCCGGUCCUAGUCUCAGUCUCGGUCUCAGAGCAGUUCUGGAGCCAGUGCUGCUACUGGUGCUGGUCUUGGUCCCGGAGUGCUCCCAGUGCCAAUCUCAGUCUCGGUCCUGGUCCCAGAGAACUGCCGGUCUCAGUGCUGGUUCGGUCUCAGUCCUAGAGCGCUCCCGGUCUCGGUCCUGAUCCCGGUCCCAGAGCAGUCCCGGUGCGGGUGGCGGGUUCCAGUCUCGGUCCUGAUCCCAGUCCUGGAGCGCUGCCGGAGCCAUUCCCAGUUCCAAAGUGCUCCUGGUGCCGGUCCCAGUGUCAGGCUUGGUCCCAGUCUUGGUCCCAGUGCGAGUUCUGGUGCUGGUUCUGGUCAGGGUCUCGGUCCUAGUCUCGGUGCUGGUCCUGUAGCGCUGCCAAUCUCAGUUCCAGUGUUGGUCUCAGUCUUGCUGCUGGUGCUGGUUCUGCUGCUGGGUUUGGUCUUGUUCCCGAGAAUUUAGGUCCAUUUGAGUGAUUUUAGGCCAAACUGGGCAGGUUUAGGGUGGGUUUCAGAUCCCUUGCAAGGAUUUGAACCCUUUUGGGUGGAUCUUAGGCCCCUUUGGCUGAUUUUAGGCCAAAUCUGGUGGGUUUUAGGGUGGAUUUUAGAUCCCUUUGGCUGAUUUUAGGCCCAUAUGGGUGGAUUUUAGUCCUCUUUGGGUAAUUUUAUCUUUUAGGUCCCUAUGUGUAAUAGAUGGCUAAUGAGAUGAUUGGCUCUCACAAUUAAGGGAUGAAUACUGUAUGAAUAUUAAGAGAAGCUUUAUUGAUGUGUGAUUAUGUUAUUGCAGUCUGUUGUUUAGAUGUCCUCGGUUCUCCCCACAGUCCCCUUUCCCCCUAUUGUUGCCAUCAGACAGCCUGAGCCAUUCAGGACAGGUGGAAAGAAGGCGAGUACAAAAACUUAUUCCUGGGGAGGGGGCGUGGCAUGACAGCACCUGACCUUCCAAUGAAGCUGCAGGAAAGCAGAGUCCACCAAUAAACAGCAAAGAAGAGUUGACUGACAGACUAUGGGAGGGGCCAGGGUUGGCUGAUGCAAUCCCUGGGGUAUAAAAGGUGAAGCAUCCAUCUUGAGGAUGGGCCAGGCAUGUGGUAGGCAGCCACGAGGGAAGCUCCCAGGCCUGUUCUUCCUUAUUUAGUCCAUUUGUUGUCAUUUUUGGUAAGGUUGAAUAAAACUUUUAAAAUUUUGAAAGUCAGCAGUCAUUUCUCACAGUAACCAUGGGUUCCUUUACUGGAGUUUGGUGCACAGGAGAAACAUCAACCAUAUGUUCUGAAGAGGUCAAAAUGACACAAAAUUUUACUGGCAAAGUACAGAAAAUCAAGAAACUUUGGGAAAAGAUAUACUAAAACAUGCAAUUCAUGUACCGGGAAACGUUUAAUCACUUCAGUUGUUGAGGUAUCAAAAAAUGUUCCAUAUCAAGAGCAUUAGAAGGAGAAGACAGAGAGACAGGGGGACAGAAGCUCUAUAGAAAGAAAUGCACAUGGCUACACACUGCUGGGGUUCCAGUGUGGGUGAGACACAAACCACAGCACGGAGCCCUUGGGACACAUCAAGGCCCCUCUGGAACAAAGAAACCAUUGCUGACAGUCCAGAAACUCAUGGAACCAAGGGAACCUUGUGACAAUGCAGAUCCAAGGACACCACAGUGGCACUAUUGAACCUCAUGGGAGCAAAGAGACCAUUGUGACACUCUGGUGCCUCACGGAAUCAGGGGGACCAAUUGUGAAACUCAGGCCCCCUAUGCAACCAAGGGCCACGGAUGAAGCUGUGGGGCCCAUGGAACCAAGGAGCCGUUGUGACACAGCGGGGCCAUGGGGAGCCGAGGGGCCAUGGUGACAUUCCAAGUGCCAAGCCGUUGUGACACAGCGGGGCCAUGGGAAGCCAAGGGGCCAUUGUGACACUGCAGAAGAAAGGAGAACACUGUGACACUCCAGGGACUCCUGGAAUCAAGGAGACCCUUGGGACACUGUGGGGCCCCAUGGAACCAAGGGGACAGGGAGCAGGUGUGGCUGGUUUGGCUUCCCGGGGGCUGCUGGACAGGUCUGGCUGACCUUGGCAUGUCAAGGGCUGCUCCUCAUCUGCCCCUGAAGGACUGGGGCUCUGGGCUCUCCUUCCUAUGGGAGAGAACUGUCCUUAUCAUCCUCCAGGGCCCUAUGGCCAAAACUGGGAUUCCUUCUCCAAAUUCCCUUACAUGCAAAGAUUGUUCCCCGAUGAAAUCUGCCAGGAGAGACAGAUCUGGCUGCCUUGGCUAUCUGGGGCCACCUCUCAUCUGUUGGAGAAUUUUGCUCAGACAUGGCUUGAAGGAAAAAAGGCCAUGAAAAUAUACAGCUGAUGGAAAAGUAAAAGGCUGCUGUGAGGAGCAAAUUCUCAAAGCCUGUUUCUGUAAACAACAAAGUUCUCAGGCACAUUUCUGUAAACAACAAAGUUCUCAGGCACAUUUCUGUAAACAACAAAGUUCUCAGGCUGUUUUUUCAUAACAGGUAAAUAUCUUGUCCUUGGAUAAGUUUUGGGAAAGCAAAAGUGACAAACAUGAAGGCCUUGAGAACCGUUCAUAUCAGGGUGAGAAAACAAAUCUUGGUUUCAAUAACAAACCACAGGUAUUGAAAACAAAAGGAGGGGUUAAUGUGUAAUCUGUAACCUAUGAUGAGCUUGGGUUUUGCAAUAUGUAUGAGCCUAAUUAACACUGUUAUAAAAUGUGCAUGAUGAAUGAAUAAAUCGGAGUUCGAUCCUGAUCAGAGGAUGGGUUGUCUCCCUUCGCUUUCUACAAAUAGUCACACCCGAUCGUGAUACGGCAAUGCACCACGAAGGAGCGAAGAAACAGGUCAGGUCCUAGCAGCGGGACGGCAGUAAACGCGACAAAAUGGAUAAAAAAGAAGCUGAGAUGCGUUGUGCCUUGGGUGUCGUACAGGCGAGCCCAACUGAUACGUGCUGCACGGACCUUGAAGAGGCUGGAAUCAGCGCUGACGAUUUUAGUGCCAGUUGCAUCGGCACCAGCAAAUAGAAGAGGCCGCAUGAAAUGUUACCGAUGUGGAGGCAUGGGUCACAAGCACCGGGAAUGGCAGGCUGCAGAACUCUGGUGCCGGAGAUGCCGUUCGGACACUCAUAAUACGAGCGCUUGCAGACGGAAAUCGGGAAACUUCCCCGGGAGUACGAACCGCAGUGACCAGGCACCAACAGAAGUCGUCGCUGCAGCAUCAGCACCCUCUCCUGUCUCCAACCCAACACCACAGGGAGCCGCUGCGGGGGGAGCGGAGCCACUGCGGGAGGAGUGACCCGCACCGCCACGGCUGCAGCGCGGACAGAGCGCGCACCGCACCCAGCGCGGGGGGGUUCGCCUGCUCCAACACAAGCGGCGGGGGACCAGAGCGCUUUUCCAGCGCCAGCGCUUGUCUCUCCACCCCACAGCUGGCAAAGAGCUUCGGUUUUAGACCUAGCAGCCGUGGUGGAUGUGACUCUUGUCAACAAAAGGAAAAGAUCCCUACUGCAAUUGGGAAACCAGUGAUAAUAAACAAGCGACACCAAGGAGCAUUAGAAUCCAGACGUUCCUCGCCUAGCCGAUUUGGCUCAGCAUCCGUUAUGCUGUCAGAAUCACCUGCAGUAACAUAGACUUUAACAUCAGAGGCACACAUGGCUCGGUCGGUGGAACAAUCAAACUCUGAAAUUGUAUUUUGAAAAAUUUAAAAAUGUUAAAGAUGUGUGGAAGCGAUUGUAUGGGUGAGAUGUAGUGAGUGUGCUUUUUAUGUUCUUUGAGAUUUGCUUGGAUGUGAUAGAUGUAAAGGCAAACACUGAAUUCAAAAGAAUUUUUCCACAGGUAUACCUUAAAAACAAACUCCUUGUGUUUAAGUGCAUUCAAGUGUAAAAAUGCUAUAGCAAACAUAUGAAGAAAGUUGUUUCAUCCUAGUAUUUUAGAAUCAGGCCUGUAAGUAAGUUAUAGUAAAUGCUAUAUUCUAUUUUUAUAGUAAGUUUUAUUUGUUAUUAAGUAGUUUAAGUUAAAUUAUCUAUUAAGUGUUAUUAAGUUUAAGUUAAGUUAGAUUCUGUUAAGUUUAAAUUAUAUUAGGUUUAAGUUAUGUAGAAUUUAAAGUCAGUUGAUUUUUGUUAAAGUUUUGUUAGAUUUAAGUAAUUUUACAUGUAAGUUCUGUUGAUUUGAAAAUAAGUCUGUUAAGUUUAAAUAUUUUAAGUUCUUUAAGUUUAAGUGCUGUUAAGUUUGAAUGAUGUUAGAUAGAUUUAUGCUAGGUGUUUAUUUUAUGAUCUGCAUUUGUUGGGACUAUAUGUUAUGGCGCAUACUACUUUCCCACCACUCCAAAGCAACAAAAGGACUGAGAAUUGCUCAGCUGGUACCAUUUGAGCCAAAUGACUAAAGGAUUACAGACUGUAAUAGGACAAGAGAGGGGGGAAAAUGGUUUUGAAUCCACUGGAGGACUUACCUUACUGACUUUGAAUUUUUCUGAGAGACCCAAGAAAAGAGUGGAAGUGGAAUUUCAAGGACAGAAAGGAUCAACUUCAAGCUUGUUGGACACUGGGGUCGAUUCCAGCAUUAUUAGCCCUAGCUGUUCGCCUCCUCUCCGGGUUCGCAUGAAUGAAAACAGCUAACAGCCUUCUUUUCUUAGUCCAAUUACCACCUACUGUGCAAUGCCUGAUAAGGCAGGACAUUAUGGCUCAGCUGGGGGUGGUUUUAACCCGUUGGGGUAAAAGCCAUUGUUCGGACCGUGGCUGGGGAACCUUAUAGAGAUACUAAGUGUGCUUAUAAUGCUUUUACUUGUUUUACCUUGUAUUUUUAGUUGUAUUCAAGAUAUGGUCAGUAGAAUGAUAGAAAAAACCCUGGCAAACUAGCCUCCUUGUGCAAAAAUGAAAAACGGGGAAUUUGUUGGAGAAUUUUGCUCAGACAUGGCUUGAAGGGAAAAAGGCCAUGAAAAUAUACAGCUGAUGGAAAAGUAAAAGGCAGCUGUGAGGAGCAAAUUCUCAAAGCCUGUUUCUGUAAACAACAAAGUUCUCAGGCACAUUUCUGUAAACAACAAAGUUCUCAGGCUGUUUUUUCAUAACAGGUAAAUAUCUUGUCCUUGGAUAAGUUUUGGAAAAGCAAAAGUGACAAACAUGAAGGCCUUGAGAACCGUUCAUAUCAGGGUGAGAAAACAAAUCUUGGUUUCAAUAACAAACCACAGGUAUUGAAAACAAAAGGAGGGGUUAAUGUGUAAAUCUGUAACCGAUGAUGAGCUUGGGUUUUGCAAUAUGUAUGAGCUUAAUUAACACUGUUAUAAAAUGUGCAUGAUGGAUGAAUAAAUCGGAGUUCGAUGCUGA
Melospiza melodia melodia is the source of this 13383-nucleotide long non-coding RNA. RefSeq lists it as uncharacterized. The record is from RefSeq and is a predicted model, not a curated record. The transcript is spliced from 2 exons. Lineage: Eukaryota; Metazoa; Chordata; Aves; Passeriformes; Passerellidae.